Pongo pygmaeus (Bornean orangutan) is the source of this 932-nucleotide long non-coding RNA. RefSeq lists it as uncharacterized. Lineage: Eukaryota; Metazoa; Chordata; Mammalia; Primates; Hominidae. The transcript is spliced from 4 exons. The record is from RefSeq and is a predicted model, not a curated record.
GCGGCCGCCUUCGGAGCGCCGCCCUCCUCCCGAAACGGGCCGGGGCGAGUGGCUGCAAGAAGCUGCGGUUUGGCCCGCGGGAGAGGGGGGCUUCCCCACUGGGGCUGUCUGACGCGAACGCCUUCCUGGCCCCAGCCAGGCGCUCUGAGAGAGCUAAUGCUGGCAGCUAUUGGGAUGUCCUCUUCCAGGACUGGUGAUGAGUUUCCCUGGAUCCAGCCCUGGCCUGGCUGAGAUGACGAAGGUUGAAGAAGCGGCAUCAUCAGAGAACUGUGUUUUGAAGAUUUGAGGGAAGGGCUGACCUCAGGAUUUUAUACUAGGUAUUUGAUGCAAUGCAGACUGGAAUCCUCCCCACAAGGGUGCCCUGGCCUGAGUGGCACAGAGAUCAAUGCAGCAGUCAUUUCCUGGGCGGGGAAAGCCCAUCCACUGUGGCCCUGGAAUGAUGCUGGUCUUAUUUUCUAUUCCUAGGAAGGCCCUAUCUCAAGUGGCUCUGGGCCAUACAAACAGAUGGAAACAGGUGUGGGGAAGCACAGGCCUCCUACCCAUGUUAAGAGAGCUGCUCAGAGUCAGGAAUCCAGAACCAGGAAUGUCCCCAGUAGCUGCCCAAGGUACAAGUGGCAGGCAGCAGGGAGAAUGGCAUGUGAAGUCAUUUGUCACCUGGCCCCAGCUUGGUUUCCAAGUCUCAGAGGAGAUUAUGGAUAUGGUAGUGCCUGGCUCAGUGCUGAAAAUCCAGUCUCCUGCUAUUUCCCUCACCUACGCUCAGCCCCACAAGCCGAGAUGUUUGCUGGACAUUUCAGGCACUGCCACCCAGUUCUGUCUACCUUACCUGCUAACACCUGUUGACCAUCCUUCAUGUGAGGGCUUCCCCAAAUAUUUCCCAAUCAAAACACUAAAAGGCAAACCUGAAAUUAAUAAAAAUGUUAAUUAAAUCUGUA